AAAUUAAUCUAAAGAUAAUGUUUUAAACACUAGAAGUUACAGUCAUGCAUAUAUGUACAUAUAAACACGUAGGAAUAAAUAUGUGCAUGUAAGUAUACGUACAUAUAUGUAGUAUAUGCGUUUAUAUGUAUUACAAAAUUUACAAAACAUUAGCUAUACAACAAUGAAUAUAAAUUUUAUAGGGAGAUCCUGAAAUGAGAGAAGAUCCUGAAUUCCCUAAGGCAAUGAUGGAAGAAAUAUUAGCUACGAACACCUCAAUCGAUGGGGGGACUUUACAAGGUACUUAUGUCUUUUAUCCAAACAAAACAAAACCUAAAAUGUGGAUUGGAAAUUAUAAAGUUGUUAAUCCUGAAGACAUUAUCUGCAAAACUGUAGCAGAAAAAAUAGGACUAACUGAGGAAGAAUGGAGAAAUUAUAUAAAGAAUAAGCAAAUAAAUGAGAAAGGAGAUGAUAAAACAAAAGUAAAUGCUAAUUUUGAUGAAAUAACUUGCGAAAUACCUAUAGAAUUAAAGGAAAAUUUAGAAAAAGCAAAUAUCGAUUAUGUAACUAUGGAAAACAACAAUAUACCAUAUUACGACGAAAGUGAGUUCAUACAAGACCCAGACAUUUUGAAUAAAAUAUAUAACAGCUUGAAUAAUUCUAAUUUGGAAAAUUUACAUGAAGAUAGUUAUUUAAUGAAUGGCUAUACUGUUGAUAAGAGUUUAUAUUUGGAUAAUGCAGCAAACGAAGAGGAAGAUGAAGAAACGGUCAAUCAAGAAGAGAUCGAAGUAGAAAGUGAAAAAAAAACAAAUGAAGUAAAGGAAAAUGCUAAAAUAGUAAAAAAGAUGAGUAAAAGCAGUAGUUAUGUUAAUAAAUUAAAUAAAUUAACAAAAACUGUGAAUGUAAGUAAAGAAAAAUUGGCUGAAAAUCGUACUAGUGAAGAUAGACAUGGAAAACCUAAAUAUACUGAAAAUAAUGUAUUUAGCCCUAAAAAUAAAACUCAAAGAAAUGUAUCAAAAAAUAUAAAACCAAAAAAAUGUGAUAAAAGGGAUAUACUUGCUGAAUUAAUCAAUGAAAACAAAAAUAAAUAUCAACAUAAGAUUAAUACUAUAAAUAAAAAAAAUAAAGAUUUGUAUAAAAAUUUGGCAUCUCUAAGUACAAAAGAAAGUUUUGAAAGUAAAAAAAAGACUAAGAAAAAUAUAACAUCAGUUAAAAAUGUUUAUAAUAAUAGCAUUUUGGUAAAAUAAACAAAUAUUUUAUUUCUUUCGUUAUAUUUUAUCACCGCUUCAUUUAUGACAGCUAUCUAUGUAUAUGUGUAUGUAUUAUUUAAAUUAAUUUAUAUGAUGCAUUUGUGACAUUACAGUCAUGUUUCAAAACCAUUAUUUCUUUGUCUGUCUGUCUGUCUGUCUGUCUGUUUGUUUGUUUGUUUGUUUGUUUGUUUGUUUGUUUGUUUGUUUGUUUGUUUGUUUGUUUGUUUGUUAUUUUUUUUUUUUUUUUUUUUUUUUUUUUUUUUUUUUUUUUUUUUUUUUAUUUUUUUUUUUUUAAUUGUCAUAUUUUGUCAUUGUGGGAGUAUAAUGUCUGCUUCCUCCUUUCCAAAAGUAUUUGGAUUAUUUUCCUGUCAAUAUAUUACAUACAUAUAUGAACCAUAUACACAUAUAUAUAUAUAUAUAUAUGUGUACCUGUGCAUAUGAAUAUGCAUUAAUAUAUUUUUAUU
RNAcentral lists this long non-coding RNA (1693 nucleotides) under Piliocolobus tephrosceles (Ugandan red Colobus). RNAcentral's name for it is "lncRNA (ENSPTEG00000020176.1)". The record is from RNAcentral. Lineage: Eukaryota; Metazoa; Chordata; Mammalia; Primates; Cercopithecidae.